Lytechinus pictus (painted urchin) is the source of this 1386-nucleotide long non-coding RNA. RefSeq lists it as uncharacterized. The record is from RefSeq and is a predicted model, not a curated record. The transcript has 3 exons. NCBI's taxonomy places the organism in Eukaryota, Metazoa, Echinodermata, Echinoidea, Temnopleuroida, Toxopneustidae.
UUUCUGAAACGAAAUAGCUAGACUAAUUAUCUGUUUAUAGAAUUGAUGUUCGAAAUCAUGGUUUCUGAGUUAACUUCAUUGGAGCAGAAAAUCUUGGAGGGAACAUCAAUACUAAUCUAAUGACAUUCCAUAGGAAUAAAAAUCCAAUGGGACCAAGUUCUUAGCAGUUCACAUUGAGUCAGAAGUACAAAAUUGAGAACCAUGCAGAUCAGCAAGUGUUAGUUCAUGUAGUUACAAUCUAAUGAGGAACAGGAUAUCUAAAUGGAAAAAUUGCAAGGUUUCCCACUUCCCAAGCUGUUUAAGUACUGGUAUCACAACAAGUGCCAAGAAGAGAUAUGAAGGCCAAGUAAAUAAAAAGUAGUUACUUCAUUUCAAUUACACAUUAAAAUUGAAUUAAUUUGAAAUAAAUAUAUUAAUAAAGCAUUGAAUGUAACGUAACUUAAACUACACAUCUGUAGAAAAGAGUGCAGUACAAGUUCAGGUUCAUCACAGGGGCCUCGGAACGAUUUUCAAAGUGGGGGGCUAACCAUGCAAAAAAUCACAAUCGUAUGGUCAUUUUUACGUUCUUGUACAUGGCUUUGGAAAAAAGUGGGGGCUCCCCCCCCCCCGCUUCCACGGCCCCUGCAUAACCGGGCAAUGACAUUGAAGUAUACAAGUUUUGGUAUAAAAUUUUACACAAAAUACAAGUAAGAAAUCUUUUUCCAACGGGCAAAUGUAUCACCUUUUAUUGAUAUUUCAUACUUCUACUAGUUCUUAGUAGUUUUUAUGAAAAUAAAUAUUUUCCAGUUUAAAGGCCUAUUCAAUAUCAGAAUAAGUCUUCUUUUAGUGACAUACUUAAGGUUGUAAAUAUAUAAGACAAAAAAUAUUGUAUUUUGAAAUAAAAAUCAUGCAUAGCGAAAUGAUAAUAUAGGUGAUCAGAAGAUUAAGAAAUAAUGUUAGUAUCACUGCUGGACCUCAUUUCAUAAACAAGUUAUUACUAUUGUAAUCUUGUCAUUAUGACAAUUAUGGUAACAUGGCUGAGCAAGAAAUUAAGGGUUUUUUAUGUUACCUAAUAAAGGCUGGGGGCAAAGUGACCAUGAUUACAAGUCUUUAUAAAUUAUGUAGGGUUAUUAAGUUGCAUUUAUGGUUAUCUUACUUUAACAAAAUGUGAAAUGGGUUACCACUGUAAUAAUGUAUAAAUAGACUAUAUUUUAAAAAUAGAUUGAAUUCUAACCACAGUGACAGUAGACAAAAUCAAAUUUUGUUAAUGAUUCGCUAAUGUAUUUAUUGGGGAAGGCACUCUUUAGGUAGAUUCUGGCAUUGUGCCCCCCCCCCCCCUUAUGAGGAGUGCUCUCACAUCAGUAGUCUAUUUCUUGUCAGCAAAUUUGAAAGGAAUUUACCUUCUUU